UACGUAGGGUGCAAGCGUUAAUCGGAAUUACUGGGCGUAAAGCGUGCGCAGGCGGUCUUGCAAGACAGAUGUGAAAUCCCCGGGCUUAACCUGGGAACUGCAUUUGUGACUGCAAGGCUGGAGUGCGGCAGAGGGGGAUGGAAUUCCGCGUGUAGCAGUGAAAUGCGUAGAUAUGCGGAGGAACACCGAUGGCGAAGGCAGCCUUCUGGGCCAACACUGACGCUCAUGCACGAAAGCGUGGGGAGCAAACAGG
This 253-nucleotide ribosomal RNA is filed under the name uncultured bacterium. RNAcentral describes it as "partial 16S ribosomal RNA". It matches the Rfam family "Bacterial small subunit ribosomal RNA", at positions 524 to 776 of the family's 1533-position model. The record is from RNAcentral.